RNAcentral lists this ribosomal RNA (616 nucleotides) under uncultured bacterium. RNAcentral describes it as "bacterial SSU rRNA". It matches the Rfam family "Bacterial small subunit ribosomal RNA", at positions 229 to 842 of the family's 1533-position model. The record is from RNAcentral.
GCAUGCGUCGCAUUAGUUAGUUGGCGGUGUAACGGACCACCAAGACGACGAUGCGUAGGGGUUCUGAGAGGAAGGUCCCCCACACUGGUACUGAGACACGGACCAGACUCCUACGGGAGGCAGCAGUGAGGAAUAUUGGUCAAUGGGCGGGAGCCUGAACCAGCCAAGUCGCGUGAGGGAUGACGGCCCUAUGGGUUGUAAACCUCUUUUGCCGGGGAGCAAAGUGCCGCACGUGUGCGGUUUGGAGAGUACCCGGAGAAAAAGCAUCGGCUAACUCCGUGCCAGCAGCCGCGGUAAUACGGAGGAUGCGAGCGUUAUCCGGAUUUAUUGGGUUUAAAGGGUGCGUAGGCGGACGCUUAAGUCAGCGGUAAAAUUGCGGGGCUCAACCUCGUCGAGCCGUUGAAACUGGGUGCCUUGAGUGGGCGAGAAGUACGCGGAAUGCGUGGUGUAGCGGUGAAAUGCAUAGAUAUCACGCAGAACUCCGAUUGCGAAGGCAGCGUACCGGCGCCCAACUGACGCUGAAGCACGAAGGCGUGGGUAUCGAACAGGAUUAGAUACCCUGGUAGUCCACGCAGUAAACGAUGAAUGCUAGUUGUCCGGGGCGAUUGAGUUCUGG